This 1171-nucleotide long non-coding RNA is filed under the name Triticum aestivum (bread wheat). Its description in RNAcentral is "long non-coding RNA (TAES_LNC005156)". The record is from RNAcentral. Lineage: Eukaryota; Viridiplantae; Streptophyta; Magnoliopsida; Poales; Poaceae.
AUUGGCGUCAUGGGAGGACUACUUCGAGCUCCGCAGUCGGUUCCCGGGGGCUGCGGCUUGGGGUCAAGCCGGUGCUGAAGGCGGGGAGAAUGUCACGGACGCGGACACGGGCCAAGCCCAGGAGGACAAGGAGGGCCAGCCCAAGAGAAGAUGAAGGCCCAAUCGGCGGUUCGACCCGUCCACCUGGGAGUUGGGUGGAUAAGCCAGGAAGCGGCUGUGUGUGUAGGGGCAUCGAGAAUUAUCUAGAGUUGUAACUUUCCCCUUCCCCUGCUCUCUCUUCCUCCCCCGAACUCUACCUCUCCUGUAACAGAUCUCACCUUUCCUACCCCCAAUUCCUCCUGUACCGCCAUGGAUUCAAGUCAAUAGAGGUAGAGAUCGUAACACAUUGAAGAUUCGGACUUUGAACUGGGAGUUACUAUUAUACCCAAACAACAAUGUGUCACCCUCUUUAAGUUCAUAGGCACUGACAAAUGUAUCCCAUCCAGAGCGAAGGACUAGCUCAUUCUGUUCAUUGUCAACCUGAACACUAUAUGUUUGGCCAUUUGGCACUUCUAGCUUUAUUUCUUCAGAUAUGUGCCCUGUGACAUAGUUUGCAAACUUUUCUGGUAUGGUCUGCAGGAAUAACCUACUAACAAGUUAAGGCAGUCAUUGUAAAGAAAAAUCAAGAGCACUUUACAAAACUAGUUUGCUACUCCCUCCGUUCCUAAAUAUAAGUCUUUUUAGACAUUUCAAAUGGAAUACAACAUACGGAUGUAUGUACACAUAUUUUAGAGUAUAGAUUCACUCAUUUUGCUUCGUAUGUAGUCACUUGUUGGAAUUUCUAGAAAGACUUAUAUUUAGGAACGGCCCACAAUCUUGAAUCACCUACAAACGGUCAAAAAACGGACAAAAACGUCGUCUGUUUGAGUCGGCGUGUUGGAGUUGCUCUAAAAUAUAUAUCUUUAGAUUUGUUGUUAAAUGUACUAGUUGGUUGGAGGGUAUUCACCAUAGUCUGAAGGGCCAAAUCGCGUUGUGAAUUUAUGUCACUCUUUGGGCAAUUUGGAAUUGCCUGAAUGUACCUGUUUAACAGAUGAUCUAUUCCAUUUUUUGCAGGUUAUCUUCAAAGCUACGACGUUGAUUAUAUGUGUCAUGGAUGCAGCGUGUGGACACACGAGAGGGCUUAUGGUCUUUG